RNAcentral lists this ribosomal RNA (481 nucleotides) under uncultured Lewinella sp. Its description in RNAcentral is "bacterial SSU rRNA". It matches the Rfam family "Bacterial small subunit ribosomal RNA", at positions 28 to 505 of the family's 1533-position model. Lineage: Bacteria; Pseudomonadati; Bacteroidota; Saprospiria; Saprospirales; Lewinellaceae. The record is from RNAcentral.
GAUGAACGCUAGCGGGAGGCUUAAUACAUGCAAGUCGAGCGAGAAGAUUUGUGCUUGCACAGAUCGGACAGCGGCGCACGGGUGAGUAACGCGUACGCAAUCUACCUUUCACAGAGGGAUAGCCCCGGGAAACUGGGAUUAAUACCUCAUAGUCUCUGGUGUCGCAUGGCACUAAGAGUAAAGCUCAGGCGGUGAAAGAUGAGCGUGCGUAAUAUUAGCUAGUUGGUGAGGUAACGGCUCACCAAGGCGAUGAUAUUUAGGGGGCGUGAGAGCGUGAUCCCCCACAUGGGUACUGAGACACGGACCCAACUCCUACGGGAGGCAGCAGUAAGGAAUAUUGGGCAAUGGAGGCAACUCUGACCCAGCCAUCCCGCGUGCAGGAUGACGGCGCUACGCGUUGUAAACUGCUUUUGUAUAAGAUGAAACCUGGGGAUUUAUCCUCAGCUGACGUUAUUAUAAGAAUAAGCACCGGCUAACUCCG